GAUUAGAAAGUGAAAAAUUACAUUUAGUUUCGGCCUAAAAUUUGGUCAAGUGACCUCUAAUUU
RNAcentral lists this transfer RNA (63 nucleotides) under Upogebia pusilla (Mediterranean mud shrimp). Its description in RNAcentral is "tRNA-Arg". Lineage: Eukaryota; Metazoa; Arthropoda; Malacostraca; Decapoda; Upogebiidae. The record is from RNAcentral.